GGGGGUGAUCGGUUUCGACUUGGGGCGAUAGUCCUGAGGGAAGCGGGUCGAGGAUCCACAGUUAUCUCGUUAACGCCCUGUGGAACCAAUAAGUGCCGACAACAAUCGCACUGACUUCGCUCUCGCUGCCUGAGCAGUGACCGAAGGGUCAGCCCGGACUUAGCCUUCGGUCCGGCUCCUGGCCUCAUUCAGAAGGCUUGCUCCACCGUCUGUGUCCUGGGGACGGUGGGGGACUUUUCCAGGACUGGGCCCGGCUGCGACAUGUCAGUGUGAGUGCAGGGGCCGAGCAGACCGUGACACUGACUGCACCCGGAGAAGUCUCAGGUCAUCCUUCGAGGACCGGGGUUCAAUUCCCCGCACCUCCACUC
RNAcentral lists this transfer-messenger RNA (368 nucleotides) under Propionibacteriaceae. Its description in RNAcentral is "Enemella sp012839035 Standard tmRNA". It matches the Rfam family "transfer-messenger RNA". From Rfam's summary of the family: Bacterial tmRNA, also known as 10Sa RNA or SsrA, is named for its dual tRNA and mRNA-like properties. Its role is to liberate the mRNA from a stalled ribosome. Lineage: Bacteria; Bacillati; Actinomycetota; Actinomycetes; Propionibacteriales. The record is from RNAcentral. RNAcentral also lists the same sequence under 1 other name.